This 96-nucleotide microRNA precursor is filed under the name Daucus carota subsp. sativus. RNAcentral's name for it is "MIR2275 microRNA precursor family". It matches the Rfam family "MIR2275 microRNA precursor family". Lineage: Eukaryota; Viridiplantae; Streptophyta; Magnoliopsida; Apiales; Apiaceae. The record is from Rfam by way of RNAcentral.
UUGCCUUAUGUGAGGAUCGGAUGGAAUUAAACAGCUAGCAUUUUUGUUUAUAAGAUGCAUUCUGUUUAAUUUCCUCCGAUAUCUCAUCUGUGGCUU